Molecule: ribosomal RNA, 478 nt
Filed under: uncultured bacterium
Lineage: Bacteria
Description: bacterial SSU rRNA
Rfam family: Bacterial small subunit ribosomal RNA
Source: RNAcentral
UCAGGACGAACGCUGGCGGCGUGCUUAACACAUGCAAGUCGAGCGGAAAGGCCUUCGGGGUACUCGAGCGGCGAACGGGUGAGUAACACGUGAGUAACCUGUCCUUGGCUUUGGGAUAACCCUCGGAAACGGGGGCUAAUACCGGAUAUGACCUUGUCCUGCAUGGGGUGGGGUGGAAAGUUUUUUCGGCUAGGGGUGGGCUCGCGGCCUAUCAGCUUGUUGGUGGGGUGAUGGCCUACCAAGGCGACGACGGGUAGCCGGCCUGAGAGGGCGACCGGCCACACUGGGACUGAGACACGGCCCAGACUCCUACGGGAGGCAGCAGUGGGGAAUAUUGCACAAUGGGCGGAAGCCUGAUGCAGCGAACCGCCGCGUGAGGGAUGACGGCCUUCGGGUUGUAAACCUCUUUCAGCAGGGACGAAGCGUGAGUGACGGUACCUGCAGAAGAAGCGCCGGCCAACUACGUGCCAGCCGCUGC